GGCAAAGUCCUUCGGGCAACGAGGUUAAAUUGGGACAAUCUUUAAUAUACAAAUUUGAGAGUGAAGUGAGACGACUGAUUCCUUCUGGCAACGAAGUUAAAUUGGGACAACUCCAAAUAAACAAGUGUGAUAGGGAAAUGAGGUGGCCGACCUCUUCCGACAACAAAGGUAAUUUGGGACACCCACCAAUUCUCAAUCCUAAUAGUGAAGUGAGU
Molecule: unclassified non-coding RNA, 215 nt
Filed under: Hevea brasiliensis (rubber tree)
Lineage: Eukaryota; Viridiplantae; Streptophyta; Magnoliopsida; Malpighiales; Euphorbiaceae
Source: RNAcentral